This 28-nucleotide non-coding RNA is filed under the name Rattus norvegicus (Norway rat). The record is from RNAcentral. Lineage: Eukaryota; Metazoa; Chordata; Mammalia; Rodentia; Muridae.
UAAUAAGAUUUUGGAUUCAGAGCUAAAA